RNAcentral lists this ribosomal RNA (497 nucleotides) under uncultured bacterium. RNAcentral's name for it is "partial 16S ribosomal RNA". It matches the Rfam family "Bacterial small subunit ribosomal RNA", at positions 28 to 507 of the family's 1533-position model. The record is from RNAcentral.
GAUGAACGCUGGCGGCGUGCCUAAUACAUGCAAGUCGAGCGAACGGACGAGAAGCUUGCUUCUCUGAUGUUAGCGGCGGACGGGUGAGUAACACGUGGAUAACCUACCUAUAAGACUGGGAUAACUUCGGGAAACCGUAGCUAAUACCGGAUAAUAUUUUGAACCGCAUGGUUAAAAAGUGAAAGACGGUCUUGCUGUCACUUAUAGAUGGACCCGCGCUGCAUUAGCUAGUUGGUAAGGUAACGGCUUACCAAGGCAACGAUGCAUAGCCGACCUGAGAGGGUGAUCGGCCACACUGGAACUGAGACACGGUCCAGACUCCUACGGGAGGCAGCAGUAGGGAAUCUUCCGCAGUGGGCGAAAGCCUGACGGAGCAACGCCGCGUGAGUGAUGAAGGUCUUCGGAUCGUAAAACUCUGUUAUUAGGGAAGAACAUAUGUGUAAGUAACUGUGCACAUCUUGACGGUACCUAAUCAGAAAGCCACGGCUAACUACGUG